UUUUUCUUUUUCAUCUUUCUUUUGCUAUUGAUGGAGAGAUUUUAAGAGAUGUUUUAGAAAAUUUGGAUGUCAAUGCGACUAAAGGAAGAUAUAUUUAUGUGUUUUUAAAUAUUUUGUUGGUUAUCUAUUGAGGAAUUUGUGUAGAGAUUUGAAGGAGCUAGAAAAUUUUGGGAAGUCUAAAUUCUAACUAUUGGGAUUAGAUCAAGCCUAUUACUUAAAAAAGUGUCUAGAAAUUGCUAUUAACAAGAAAUGUUUAGAUGUUUGUAAUAUCGUGUAGACCUCAAUCUUUUGACUAGAAUAUGUAUUAUGACCAAGGUGGUAAGAUUUAUUUUUGAAUCAUAGCAUGGAGGAUGUUACAUAAUUAGGGAUGGCAUGGACAUUUGAACAUUAUCAUCUCUUGCUUACGUGGUGUGAUGUGAGCCAUUUAUGGACAUUUUAAAAUUCUGGUACUCUGUGUACAUAGCACUGCAAACGCCUUGCGUGCAGGGUCUAAACUUUGGAAAGGACAUAAUUCUCGUCGUAUUUGAGCCCUCAUCUUUGAAAUAAAGGGGGAUAAAAGAGGUUGCCUGUCCAUGGGGCGAAAAAAAAGACUGAUUUGGCUUGGAGGGGAAAAUGCUAUGAAAUUGUAAAGCACUUAUUGAGUUAUUAUUGAAUUUUUCAUAGAACUUGCUAAGGACAAUUAAUGAUACGGAAGGAUUGACAAUGAAGAAAAAUUUAUAAAUAAAAUGUUUAAUAGAUGGUAUCAUUUUAGAGUUGUUUAGUGUUUGAGAUCUGUUGGACUCCUCCUUUCAUAAAC
Molecule: unclassified non-coding RNA, 796 nt
Filed under: Hevea brasiliensis (rubber tree)
Lineage: Eukaryota; Viridiplantae; Streptophyta; Magnoliopsida; Malpighiales; Euphorbiaceae
Source: RNAcentral